UGCAUUCAGGUGAUGUAAAUAAGAGUUUUACAGGUCUUG
RNAcentral lists this transfer RNA (39 nucleotides) under Varanus marmoratus. Its description in RNAcentral is "partial tRNA-Ala". The record is from RNAcentral. Lineage: Eukaryota; Metazoa; Chordata; Lepidosauria; Squamata; Varanidae.